UCGCAAGAGAUCCUGUAGUCUUCUUGAGGACAUCGUGUCGACGUCUAUGAUCUGAGAAUUCUUUGUCCAAUCAGAUUAAGAAAAAAAAAAAAAAAGAAGAAAAAGUGAAUUGAUUUGAAGUAAAUUCGAAUUAAAAAGACAGCCGUGGUAAUAUUUUCCAGUAAUCGAGAAGACUUAUGUGUCGAUGAGGUGCAAGAUUUUGGAUUGUCAAGGAAAUUCUCCAACAUUCUUACCCAGUGUUAGGCUCGCUAAAAAUCUUCGAACCCGCAAAGGAAGUCGAUGUGGUAACGCUGGAAAUCGUCUAGAAUUGUUAGUUCUGGUUCAUUUGCAUCACGUACCAUAAAUUAAAGAAAAAGAUCAGUGGAUCUGAUAGUGUCAGAAAUUAAAGUGGAAGUGCUGCAUAUCGGUUUUAAUUGGCUUAAAAUCGAUAGAAACUAGUGGAGGGAAGGUAGAACAAUUUUCAUUUCGAAAGGAAAGCGAAAAAAGAGUCAAAAAAUGGUUCACACCGAUAUUCUCAUCAAAGGACCUUACGAAGAUACGAG
Long non-coding RNA from Apis florea (little honeybee), 542 nucleotides. NCBI's taxonomy places the organism in Eukaryota, Metazoa, Arthropoda, Insecta, Hymenoptera, Apidae. The record is from RefSeq and is a predicted model, not a curated record.